Molecule: ribosomal RNA, 471 nt
Filed under: uncultured Pelotomaculum sp.
Lineage: Bacteria; Bacillati; Bacillota; Clostridia; Eubacteriales; Desulfotomaculaceae
Description: bacterial SSU rRNA
Rfam family: Bacterial small subunit ribosomal RNA
Source: RNAcentral
GACGGGGCCGCACAAGCGGUGGAGCAUGUGGUUUAAUUCGACGCAACGCGAAGAACCUUACCAGGGCUUGACAUCCCCUGACCGCGUAUGAAAGUACGUUUUCACCCUCGGGUGACAGGGAGACAGGUGGUGCAUGGUUGUCGUCAGCUCGUGUCGUGAGAUGUUGGGUUAAGUCCCGCAACGAGCGCAACCCCUACGUUUAGUUGCUAACAGGUGAAGCUGAGCACUCUAGACGAACUGCCGUUGACAAAACGGAGGAAGGUGGGGAUGACGUCAAAUCAUCAUGCCCCUUAUGUUCUGGGCUACACACGUGCUACAAUGGCCGGUACAGACGGAGGCGAAGCCGCGAGGCGGAGCAAAUCCGAAAAAGCCGGUCUCAGUUCGGAUUGCAGGCUGCAAUUCGCCUGCAUGAAGUCGGAAUCGCUAGUAAUCGCAGGUCAGCAUACUGCGGUGAAUACGUUCCCGGGCCUU